RNAcentral lists this ribosomal RNA (253 nucleotides) under uncultured bacterium. Its description in RNAcentral is "partial 16S ribosomal RNA". It matches the Rfam family "Bacterial small subunit ribosomal RNA", at positions 524 to 776 of the family's 1533-position model. The record is from RNAcentral.
UACGUAGGUAGCAAGCGUUGUCCGGAUUUACUGGGUGUAAAGGGCGUGUAGCCGGGCUGACAAGUCAGAUGUGAAAUCCGGGGGCUCAACCCCCGAACUGCAUUUGAAACUGUUGGUCUUGAGUAUCGGAGAGGCAGGCGGAAUUCCUAGUGUAGCGGUGAAAUGCGUAGAUAUUAGGAGGAACACCAGUGGCGAAGGCGGCCUGCUGGACGACAACUGACGGUGAGGCGCGAAAGCGUGGGGAGCAAACAGG